GUCCACGCCGUAAACGGUGGGUACUAGGUGUGGGUUUCCUUCCACGGGAUCCGUGCCGUAGCUAACGCAUUAAGUACCCCGCCUGGGGAGUACGGCCGCAAGGCUAAAACUCAAAGGAAUUGACGGGGCCCGCACAAGCGGCGGAGCAUGUGGAUUAAUUCGAUGCAACGCGAAGAACCUUACCUGGGUUUGACAUACACCGGAAACCUGCAGAGAUGUAGGCCCCCCUUGUGGUCGGUGUACAGGUGGUGCAUGGUUGUCGU
This 263-nucleotide ribosomal RNA is filed under the name uncultured bacterium. RNAcentral describes it as "partial 16S ribosomal RNA". It matches the Rfam family "Bacterial small subunit ribosomal RNA", at positions 793 to 1055 of the family's 1533-position model. The record is from RNAcentral.